UCCGUAGGAUGCAAGCGUUGUCCGGAAUUAUUGGGCGUAAAGCGCGCGCAGGCGGCAUAUCAAGUUGGACGUGAAAUUUUAGGGCUUAACCCUAAAGGGUCGUCCAAAACUGGUAAGCUAGAGUGCAGGAGAGGAAAGCGGAAUUCCCGGUGUAGUGGUGAAAUGCGUAGAUAUCUGGAGGAACACCGGUGGCGAAGGCGGCGUUCUGGACUGUUUCUGACACUGAAAAACGAAAGCCAGGGGAGCAAACGGG
Molecule: ribosomal RNA, 253 nt
Filed under: uncultured bacterium
Lineage: Bacteria
Description: partial 16S ribosomal RNA
Rfam family: Bacterial small subunit ribosomal RNA
Source: RNAcentral